This 89-nucleotide transfer RNA is filed under the name Candidatus Alistipes faecigallinarum. RNAcentral's name for it is "tRNA-Leu". It matches the Rfam family "tRNA". From Rfam's summary of the family: Transfer RNA (tRNA) molecules are approximately 80 nucleotides in length. Their secondary structure includes four short double-helical elements and three loops (D, anti-codon, and T loops). Lineage: Bacteria; Pseudomonadati; Bacteroidota; Bacteroidia; Bacteroidales; Rikenellaceae. The record is from RNAcentral.
GCUCGGAUGGUGGAAUAGGUAGACACGCCGGACUUAAAAUCCUGUGGCCAGCAAUGGCCGUGCGGGUUCGAUUCCCGCUCCGAGUACCA